CUAGUUAUUAAAUUUUGGUUAGUAGUAAGUUUAUAAUUUUCAUUAUUAUAUUGCAAAGACAAAUUCUGAAGGAAUAGUUUAAGUUCAAGCUGGUCGGAGAACGGAGCAGAGAGAGACGAACGGCACGAGCCGAUCGCAGAACGGAGCAGAGAGAGACCAACGGCACGAGCUAGAAAACAGAGCCAGCAGCAGAGCAGGGCGCCGGCAGCAGCCCGAGAGCGGCCAACAGCAGAAAAAGCCACGGGCGUUGGCAGCAACGACAGCAGCGGCAGCGCAGCCUGGACAAGGGUCCGAGGGUAAGGGCUCGCGAUCGCAAUGCAGAGCUCGCCGCUGGGAAAAAGGUUUCGGACACCGGGAGAACAAGUCGAUAUCGCUGCGGCGACAACAGUGGAACAAGUGAAAAGUGCGCCGUGACCGACACACACCCACCACGUGCCCACGAGAGGCUCAAGACCUCAGACAAAGACCCAUAAGCUCGAGAGGAUCGGGUAAGCGAGGCUGUGGGCCUUAUCCCGUUUGGUACGACUUAGUUUGGUGCGAAUUAGGUAGGGACACAGGCGAUAAGACAGGAAGAAAAGAAGACAAGAAAUAUGAAAUGAAGACAAAGAUAAAAUAAAUAAAAG
This 623-nucleotide long non-coding RNA is filed under the name Drosophila guanche. Lineage: Eukaryota; Metazoa; Arthropoda; Insecta; Diptera; Drosophilidae. The record is from RNAcentral.